GACGAACGCUGGCGGCGUGCUUAACACAUGCAAGUCGUACGGUAAGGCCCUUUCGGGGGUACCCGAGUGGCGAACGGGUGAGUAACACGUGCGUAACCUGCCCACAACUUUGGGAUAACGCUAGGAAACUGGUGCUAAUACUGGAUAUGUGCUCCUGCUGCAUGGUGGGGGUUGGAAAGCUCCGGCGGUUGUGGAUGGACUCGCGGCCUAUCAGCUUGUUGGUGGGGUAGUGGCCUACCAAGGCGGCGACGGGUAGCCGGCCUGAGAGGGUGACCGGCCACAUUGGGACUGAGAUACGGCCCAGACUCCGACGGGAGGCAGCAGUGGGGAAGAUUGCACAAUGGGCGCAAGCCUGAUGCAGCAACGCCGCGGGCGGGAUGACGGCCUUCGGGUUGUAAACCGCUUUCAGCAGGGACGAAGCUUUUUGUGACGGUACCUGCAGAAGAAGCACCGGCUAACUACGUG
RNAcentral lists this ribosomal RNA (465 nucleotides) under uncultured bacterium. RNAcentral's name for it is "partial 16S ribosomal RNA". It matches the Rfam family "Bacterial small subunit ribosomal RNA", at positions 28 to 507 of the family's 1533-position model. The record is from RNAcentral.